Molecule: unclassified non-coding RNA, 326 nt
Filed under: uncultured fungus
Lineage: Eukaryota; Fungi
Description: partial contains 5.8S ribosomal RNA, internal transcribed spacer 2, and large subunit ribosomal RNA
Rfam family: 5.8S ribosomal RNA (bases 1-52)
Source: RNAcentral
AACGCAUAUUGCGCCCUCUGGUAUUCUGGGGGGCAUGCCUGUUUGAGUGUCAUUAACGUGUCAACACAGGCAAGUUUUUCAGGACUUGCUCUGCUGUUUGGAUAUUGAAGGCUUGCUGGCGGUGAACACUUUUCUGUCAGCUCCUUUUAAAUGCAUUAGCAGGAACCUUGCAGGACUGGCUUCAGUUUGAUAAGAUUGAACUGUUGCUAGAAUGCACUUUGGUGUUUCAGCUUCCAAUCGUCCAGCAAAACUGGACUGCCUCGCCUUGAGACAAUUACUAUUGACAACUUGGCCUCAAAUCAGGUAGGAUUACCCGCUGAACUUAA